CGGGGUGCAGCAGGCGCGAAAACUCCACAAUGUACGGAAGUACGAUGGGGUUAUCUCGAGUGCAGUCCGAUAAGGGCUGCUUUUCCAUAGAGUAAUAUCCUGUGGGAAUAAGAGGGGGGCAAGACUGGUGUCAGCCGCCGCGGUAACACCAGCCCCUCGAGUGGUGGGGACUAUUAUUUGGCCUAAAGCGUCCGUAGCUGGCUGUAUCCGUCCCCCGUUAAAUCCAGCGUCCUAAGCGUUGGACUGCGGGUGAUACCAUACAGCUAGAGGGUGGGAUAGGUGAGCGGUAUUUCUGGGGUAGGGGCGAAAUCCUUUGAUCCCAGGAGGACCACCAGCGGCGAAGGCUGCUCACUAGAACACGCCUGACGGUCAGGGACGAAAGCUGGGGCAGCGAACCGGAUUAGAUACCCGGGUAGUCCCAGCUGUAAACGAUGCUAGCUAGGUGUUGGGUCGGCCACGUGCCGCCCCAGUGCCGCAGGGAAGCCGUUAAGCUAGCCGCCUGGGGAGUACGGCCGCAAGGCUGAAACUUAAAGGAAUUGGCGGGGGAGCACAAGGG
Molecule: ribosomal RNA, 556 nt
Filed under: uncultured archaeon
Lineage: Archaea
Description: bacterial SSU rRNA
Rfam family: Archaeal small subunit ribosomal RNA
Source: RNAcentral